UGUUCUCUUACCUAAACAUCUUCGGGAAUGUUUAUUAAAUGAAUGUGUGCAACCACAGGGGAACACUGAGUUCUAAAAAUGUUGCAGUAUGCAAGAAUGAGUGGCCUGAAUCUGGAAUUUACAACGAUUUCCAAUCAUCAAUCAGAAACUGUCGCGUGAACAGGGCCUGAAUUGCACAAGCAUGUUUUUAUUUCCGCAUUGGACCGAGUCGCUGAGAGAUAGACGCUAUUAAAUGGAGAAAUGUCACUGCAGGAUUACAGUUGAAGUCUCACGUUAAGAAGGACAAUUUCAAGUUGUGAGCUCACAUCAGCUCAGAGUGAAGAGAUUCACCAACAGUCAGUUUAACUCUGAUAAAAAUCAAACAUGGUCCGAAGUGCCUGGGAA
Long non-coding RNA from Poeciliopsis prolifica (blackstripe livebearer), 384 nucleotides. RefSeq lists it as uncharacterized. Lineage: Eukaryota; Metazoa; Chordata; Actinopteri; Cyprinodontiformes; Poeciliidae. The transcript has 3 exons. The record is from RefSeq and is a predicted model, not a curated record.